RNAcentral lists this ribosomal RNA (646 nucleotides) under Planigale kendricki. RNAcentral describes it as "partial 16S large subunit ribosomal RNA". It matches the Rfam family "Bacterial large subunit ribosomal RNA", at positions 1956 to 2829 of the family's 2925-position model. Lineage: Eukaryota; Metazoa; Chordata; Mammalia; Dasyuromorphia; Dasyuridae. The record is from RNAcentral.
GUAGCAUAAUCACUUGUCUCUUAAAUGGGGACUAGUAUGAAUGGCAUCACGAGGGUUUAACUGUCUCUUAUUCCCAAUCAGUGAAAUUGACCUUCCCGUGCAGAGGCGGGAAUGCUGAUACAAGACGAGAAGACCCUGUGGAGCUUAAGACACAUAACUCAACACAUACCCAUUUCUAACCUACUGGGACAAAAAAUGUAUAAAGUCCUGAGUUAUAGUCUUUGGUUGGGGUGACCUCGGAGUACAAAAUAACCUCCGAAUGAAAUUAACCCAGAUUAACAAAUCUAAGUGUAUUAAUACCAGUAAUUGACCCAAUUAUUUGAUCAACGGAACAAGUUACCCCAGGGAUAACAGCGCAAUCCUAUUUGAGAGCCCAUAUCGAAAAUUAGGGUUUACGACCUCGAUGUUGGAUCAGGACAUCCAAAUGGUGCAGCAGCUAUUAACGGUUCGUUUGUUCAACGAUUAAAGUCCUACGUGAUCUGAGUUCAGACCGGAGAAAUCCAGGUCGGUUUCUAUCUGUAUAUUAAUUUCUCCCAGUACGAAAGGACAAGAGAAAUGGGGCCAACGUCCCUAAUGAGCCCUAGAACUAAUAUAUGAAUUCAUCUUAAUAUUCUAAUUCAAUAAAUAAACCCCCAAGAACAGGGCU